RNAcentral lists this ribosomal RNA (446 nucleotides) under uncultured bacterium. RNAcentral describes it as "bacterial SSU rRNA". It matches the Rfam family "Bacterial small subunit ribosomal RNA", at positions 329 to 792 of the family's 1533-position model. The record is from RNAcentral.
UGCCAGACUCCUACGGGAGGCAGCAGUGGGGAAUAUUGCACAAUGGGGGAAACCCUGAUGCAGCGACGCCGCGUGAGUGAAGAAGUAUUUCGGUAUGUAAAGCUCUAUCAGCAGGGAAGAAAAUGACGGUACCUGAUUAAGAAGCCCCGGCUAACUACGUGCCAGCAGCCGCGGUAAUACGUAGGGGGCAAGCGUUAUCCGGAUUUACUGGGUGUAAAGGGAGCGUAGACGGCAGUGCAAGUCUGAAGUGAAAGCCCCGGGCUUAACCCGGGAACUGCUUUGGAAACUGUACGGCUGGAGUGCUGGAGAGGUAAGCGGAAUUCCUAGUGUAGCGGUGAAAUGCGUAGAUAUUAGGAGGAACACCAGUGGCGAAGGCGGCUUACUGGACAGUAACUGACGUUGAGGCUCGAAAACGUGGGGAGCAAACAGGAUUAGAUACCCUCGUA